This 66-nucleotide transfer RNA is filed under the name Isoptena serricornis. Its description in RNAcentral is "tRNA-Tyr". It matches the Rfam family "tRNA". Rfam says of the family: Transfer RNA (tRNA) molecules are approximately 80 nucleotides in length. Their secondary structure includes four short double-helical elements and three loops (D, anti-codon, and T loops). Lineage: Eukaryota; Metazoa; Arthropoda; Insecta; Plecoptera; Chloroperlidae. The record is from RNAcentral.
GUUAGAAUGGCUGAGUUUAUAGGCAGUAGAUUGUAAAUCUAUUUACGAGGAGACCCUCUUCUAUCA